AUGAACGCUGGCGGCGUGCCUAAUACAUGCAAGUCGAGCGAACGGACGAGAAGCUUGCUUCUCUGAUGUUAGCGGCGGCCGGGUGAGUAACACGUGGAUAACCUACCUAUACGACUGGGAUAACUUCGGGAAACCGGAGCUAAUACCGGAUAAUAUUUUGAACCGCAUGGUUCAAAAGUGAAAGACGGUCUUGCUGUCACUUAUAGAUGGAUCCGCGCUGCAUUAGCUAGUUGGUAAGGUAACGGCUUACCAAGGCAACGAUGCAUAGCCGACCUGAGAGGGUGAUCGGCCACACUGGAACUGAGACACGGUCAAGACUCCUACGGGAGGCAGCAGUAGGGAAUCUUACGCAAUGGGCGAAAGCCUGACGGAGCAACGCCGCGUGAGUGAUGAAGGUCUUCGGAUCGUAAAACUCUGUUAUUAGGGAAGAACAUAUGUGUAAGUAACUGUGCACAUCGUGACGGUACCUAAUCAGAAAGCCACGGCUAACUACGUG
RNAcentral lists this ribosomal RNA (496 nucleotides) under uncultured bacterium. RNAcentral's name for it is "partial 16S ribosomal RNA". It matches the Rfam family "Bacterial small subunit ribosomal RNA", at positions 29 to 507 of the family's 1533-position model. The record is from RNAcentral.